Haplochromis burtoni (Burton's mouthbrooder) is the source of this 607-nucleotide long non-coding RNA. RefSeq lists it as uncharacterized. The transcript is spliced from 2 exons. NCBI's taxonomy places the organism in Eukaryota, Metazoa, Chordata, Actinopteri, Cichliformes, Cichlidae. The record is from RefSeq and is a predicted model, not a curated record.
UCCUUUUCAUAGCUGUGAGCUUUGUUUUUAUCUCUCUUCUGUCUUUCAGUUGGCAAGGCUGCUCUAGGAGGAGAAAACUGAGGUUUCCCGCAGCAGCCGAUUUAACUUUAGCUUUGGGAAAUGAUCCAAUCAAAACUAAUCCAGAAGUUGCUCAACAUGUAACUGAGGAGUGCUUGAGGUCAAAGAGCUUCAUCAUGGAGAAACUUGGUAUUAGUCACUGUCACUGAUUCAUGUUUAAAUAAUCAGUUGUUCAACUUGUAACACUUUAAGUGAAGUAAGCAAAAGCUCUUAUCAUCCAUCUAAAAUUCCCAAAUACUAAAGUUGUUCAGUCUUUGUUCAGUUGUACAGAAAAACUAAUAAACCUUAUCAACUAAAAAUAUGUUAAAAAUGCACUGCAAAUUUUUAACUUAAUUUUACUUUUUGAAAGAUUUUAAACUCAUUUUAAGUUAAUAAACCAACUGAUUAAUAAAUAAUUGAUCAGGUAACAACUCCUGAGCUAAAGCACUAUUCUAGGAACAUUUGUGUGUCUGUGUGUUUAAUAUUGUGUUCAUUUUUCUGUGUCCGACAAAUAGAACUGUAAUGUUGGUGUAUCUGUGUUAUUGUGAUG